This 302-nucleotide RNase P RNA is filed under the name Ruminococcus sp. RNAcentral describes it as "RNase P RNA component class A". It matches the Rfam family "Bacterial RNase P class A", at positions 49 to 367 of the family's 367-position model. From Rfam's summary of the family: Ribonuclease P (RNase P) is a ubiquitous endoribonuclease, found in archaea, bacteria and eukarya as well as chloroplasts and mitochondria. Its best characterised activity is the generation of mature 5'-ends of tRNAs by cleaving the 5'-leader elements of precursor-tRNAs. Cellular RNase Ps are ribonucleoproteins. Lineage: Bacteria; Bacillati; Bacillota; Clostridia; Eubacteriales; Oscillospiraceae. The record is from RNAcentral.
AGUCCGAGCAUCACAGAGCAGGAUAGCUGUUAACGGCAGCCGAGGGCGACCUCAGGGCAAGUGCAACAGAAAUUAGACUACCCUUGAAAAAGGGAAAAGGUGGAAAGGUGAGGUAAGAGCUCACCAGAGUGCAUGAGAAUGCACUGCUGUGUAAACCCUAUCUGAUGCAACGUCUAUUGGUACAGAUACAUCAACAUCUGCUCGGUGGAUGUACUGUAAUGACGGCUCGAACCAUAUGGCGACAUAUGGUCUAGAUAAAUUAUCGCACACGACAGAACUCGGCUUAUCGGUUUGGUCAUAUA